CCUACGGGAGGCAGCAGUGAGGAAUAUUGCACAAUGGACGCAAGUCUGAUGCAGCAACGCCGCGUGGAGGAUGACGGUCUUUGGAUUGUAAACUCCUUUUCUCAGGGAAGAGAAUGGACGGUACCUGAGGAAUAAGUCACGGCUAACUACGUGCCAGCAGCCGCGGUAAUACGUAGGUGGCAAGCGUUAUCCGGAAUUACUGGGCGUAAAGCGCACGCAGGCGGUCUUUUAAGUUUGACGUGAAAGCUCCCGGCUUAACUGGGAGAGGUCGUUGAAAACUGGGAGACUUGAGGCAAUGAGAGGGGUGUAGAAUUCCAGGUGUAGUGGUGGAAUGCGUAGAUAUCUGGAGGAAUACCAGUGGCGAAAGCGGCACCCUAGCGUUGUUCUGACGCUCAUGUGCGAAAGCGUGGGGAGCGAACGGGAUUAGAUACCCUAGUAGU
This 440-nucleotide ribosomal RNA is filed under the name uncultured bacterium. RNAcentral describes it as "bacterial SSU rRNA". It matches the Rfam family "Bacterial small subunit ribosomal RNA", at positions 338 to 794 of the family's 1533-position model. The record is from RNAcentral.